GGGGAUUUAGCUCAGUGGUAGAGCGCUUGCCUCCCAAGCGCAAGGCCCUGGGUUCGGUCCCCAGCUCCG
This 69-nucleotide transfer RNA is filed under the name Rattus norvegicus (Norway rat). It matches the Rfam family "tRNA". From Rfam's summary of the family: Transfer RNA (tRNA) molecules are approximately 80 nucleotides in length. Their secondary structure includes four short double-helical elements and three loops (D, anti-codon, and T loops). Further hydrogen bonds mediate the characteristic L-shaped molecular structure. tRNAs have two regions of fundamental functional importance: the anti-codon, which is responsible for specific mRNA codon recognition, and the 3' end, to which the tRNAs corresponding amino acid is attached (by aminoacyl-tRNA synthetases). tRNAs cope with the degeneracy of the genetic code in two manners: having more than one tRNA (with a specific anti-codon) for a particular amino acid; and 'wobble' base-pairing, i.e. permitting non-standard base-pairing at the 3rd anti-codon position. Lineage: Eukaryota; Metazoa; Chordata; Mammalia; Rodentia; Muridae. The record is from Rfam by way of RNAcentral.